AGAGAAGUUUCUGGAAAGAUGGAGCCAAAGGGACGCUGGGGGGUGGGGAGCGCCAGGAAGCAAGCGUUUGAAAGAAAGCGAAAAAACCCAAGCGCACCGCGACACCUCCAACCUUCAAGCCACGGCCCAAGCAGAGCCCAAGGCCACUGAGACCCUCACGCCAGAGAAAAAGCACAGGGACCGCGGCAGCCGCUCCUCCCUCUGCCACUGCUCAGCCCCCGAGACUCCCCAGCACGGGGAGAGGGCAGGGGGUAGCCAUGAGAAACCUAGAGCGCUCACUGGACUUUUGCGAGGUGGAAGGAAAGCCGAAACCCGCCCUUUGGAGCCGCCUGUGCGCACGGGCCCCGUCGAGUGGGCUCAGUACGUUAGGACUCAGCGUGGCCGCCAAAGCAUUGGUUGGGGGCGUCUUUCACUAAUUUUUCCUAGGUUUUCUCUUCUAUCGGGCUCUGUGGUCCUUUCACCACCCAUCUUCACUUUGGUGGCCUGACGCUAACGCUGCGAGUUGGGGAAACCGUAGUAACCCCGGGCCUGAGGGGCGUCCCGGGCGGCGGUGCUCCGUUUCUUCCAGCGGUUGCCCCUUUAAGAAAAAGCCCCCCGGAGAGGGGCCCGUGUGGCUGAGUAAAGGUGGCGUGCGCCCGCACAAAGGCGCCGCGUUGUUGGCGGGCUCCGGACCCUGUUGCCCCUGGGCGGGGCGGCGUGGGAAGACCGGGGCGCCUGGGCGGGGAGAACGACGUUGGCGCUAGCGGGGCAGGGCAGGGGGAGGGAGUCACGGGAUUUAGCAGGUGCUUCUCCGCGACCGAGCGACUGCCAUUUUGUGGUGCGGCCGCCGCCAUUUCGCGCGGCCGAGGGGCGGGGUGUGGGCGGAGCGGCGGGCGCGCCCGGGCUGUCCCUCGGGGCGGCGGGCUAACGCGGCCGCUUUGUUCUUCGCUUCUCGGCUCGAGGCCCCAGUCUCGACCGCCGACCGCCUCGGAACCGGGCUGCAUCCGAGCUGCCACGCGGCGUGUGAACCUUGAAGCGCGGCCGGGGAAUCCGCAAGGCGCCGACUCUCUUCCUCCUUGCAAGCCCUUCGAAAGUGAGAUUUCUCACCCCACCCUUGCAGGGUGGAGAGAACACGUUUCAAAAAGGGGAUGCCUAGAACUCAGCCGUGGGAAGUGCCUGUCUAAAGCCUUGUGCUGGUGCCAGUAGCAAACCCGUGCGCGUGCUCGGCUUUGAGCGAUCAUGGAGCUCUGCAAAUAGCUCAACUGCAGAGCGUGCCCCUUAGAGCUCCUGUGCUGCUGGGAGGCCUCAUAAAGGUGCCAAAACCAGGUGUCCCCAGCGGUUGGCCUCUUUAAAAAGAAAAAAAAAAAAAGGCGGAGUGGGAUGUCCUUGACGUGCUGAAAGACGGAGUAGAAUGAGACGUUGGUUUUCAUUGGCUGGCCAUUAAGCACGCACUGCGCAACUGUUUUCCAGAUACGGGUUUAUAGCCCAUUAUUUAUAUCGGAGCCAUAAACUUGAACAAUAGAUUGGAAUAUCUUAUUUUUGCCUGUUGAGAAUAUCUCCCAUUUAACUUCUUUUGAAAGUUCAGAUGAGUAUAUAAAUAAUACAUUGACCCAGUAGAAUCUAUUGUGUGCGUUCCAGCGUCAUUUCAAAGAGCUAUUGUUUUUCUGAUUUCAAAAGAAAUAUUUAAAUGUGAGUCUUUGUGUUUUAAUGUUAACCUUGUGGUUCGAAAUCAACAAAGCCAGGAAAUUCAAGAGAACUGCUGCU
RNAcentral lists this long non-coding RNA (1743 nucleotides) under Homo sapiens (human). RNAcentral's name for it is "non-protein coding lnc-UQCRHL-1:6". Lineage: Eukaryota; Metazoa; Chordata; Mammalia; Primates; Hominidae. The record is from RNAcentral.